AUCGUGUCCAAAUCAUAAAAUGGAAGAGUAGUUUUUAAGUUAUUUAGCUUUGUGUCUAAGGAUGAAAGGUCCAUGUUAAUGGACUUAGAUAUGGCAGCUAUGAAUAUGGAGGAAUUUCGGAUUGAACAAUUUGUGGCUUCGAUUAGAAACGUGAUAUUAAGAAGAUAAUUUAAAGUUGCRUKCUUCCAAAAUKUGCAACAAAUUAUGAAAAAUAUUCAAGAAAAAUUGGCAAAUAGAAAUAGAAUGCGCUAAAGUUCUAGUUAGUAGUUACCAAGGUUGGAACAAGUUAUUUUACAAGAACCAUUGCUGGAACUGGGAGCGGGUCCAACAAAUACAUUGAGUAAAGU
Molecule: long non-coding RNA, 347 nt
Organism: Diuraphis noxia (Russian wheat aphid)
Lineage: Eukaryota; Metazoa; Arthropoda; Insecta; Hemiptera; Aphididae
Source: RefSeq, a predicted model, not a curated record